This 492-nucleotide ribosomal RNA is filed under the name uncultured bacterium. RNAcentral describes it as "partial 16S ribosomal RNA". It matches the Rfam family "Bacterial small subunit ribosomal RNA", at positions 29 to 507 of the family's 1533-position model. The record is from RNAcentral.
AGUGAACGCUGGCGGUAGGCCUAACACAUGCAAGUCGAACGGCCGCACAGUAAGAGCUUGCUCUUACGGGUGGCGAGUGGCGGACGGGUGAGGAAUACAUCGGAAUCUACUUUUUCGUGGGGGAUAACGUAGGGAAACUUACGCUAAUACCGCAUACGACCUACGGGUGAAAGCAGGGGAUCUUCGGACCUUGCGCGAUUGAAUGAGCCGAUGUCGGAUUAGCUAGUUGGCGGGGUAAAGGCCCACCAAGGCGACGAUCCGUAGCUGGUCUGAGAGGAUGAUCAGCCACACUGGAACUGAGACACGGUCCAGACUCCUACGGGAGGCAGCAGUGGGGAAUAUUGGACAAUGGGCGCAAGCCUGAUCCAGCCAUACCGCGUGAGUGAAGAAGGCCUUCGGGUUGUAAAGCCCUUUUGUUGGGAAAGAAAAGCAGCAGGUUAAUACCCCGCUGUUCUGACGGUACCCAAAGAAUAAGCACCGGCUAACUUCGUG